Molecule: ribosomal RNA, 253 nt
Filed under: uncultured bacterium
Lineage: Bacteria
Description: partial 16S ribosomal RNA
Rfam family: Bacterial small subunit ribosomal RNA
Source: RNAcentral
UACGUAGGGGGCAAGCGUUGUCCGGAUUUAUUGGGCGUAAAGAGCUCGUAGGCGGUCUGUUGCGUCGGCUGUGAAAACCCGGGGCUCAACCCCGGGCCUGCAGCCGAUACGGGCAGACUAGAGUUCGGCAGGGGAGACUGGAAUUCCUGGUGUAGCGGUGAAAUGCGCAGAUAUCAGGAGGAACACCGGUGGCGAAGGCGGGUCUCUGGGCCGAUACUGACGCUGAGGAGCGAAAGCGUGGGGAGCGAACAGG